GACGAACGCUGGCGGCGUGCUUAACACAUGCAAGUCGAACGCUGAAGCACCAGCUUGCUGGUGUGGAUGAGUGGCGAACGGGUGAGUAAUACGUGAGUAACCUGCCCUUGACUCUGGGAUAAGCCCGGGAAACUGGGUCUAAUACUGGAUGCUACAUGUCACCGCAUGGUGGUGUGUGGAAAGGGUUUACUGGUCUUGGAUGGGCUCACGGCCUAUCAGCUUGUUGGUGAGGUAAUGGCUCACCAAGGCGACGACGGGUAGCCGGCCUGAGACGGUGACCGGCCACACUGGGGCUGAGACACGACCCAGGCUCCGACGGGAGGAAGCAGUGGGGAAUAUUGCACAAUGGGCGAAAGCCUGAUGCAGCGACGCCGCGUGAGGGAUGACGGCCUUCGGGUUGUAAACCUCUUUCAGCAGGGAAGAAGCCACAAGUGACGGUACCUGCAGAAGAAGCGCCGGCUAACUACGUGCCAGCAGCCGCGGUAA
Molecule: ribosomal RNA, 486 nt
Filed under: uncultured bacterium
Lineage: Bacteria
Description: partial 16S ribosomal RNA
Rfam family: Bacterial small subunit ribosomal RNA
Source: RNAcentral